Molecule: ribosomal RNA, 387 nt
Filed under: uncultured bacterium
Lineage: Bacteria
Description: bacterial SSU rRNA
Rfam family: Bacterial small subunit ribosomal RNA
Source: RNAcentral
GACGAACGCUGGCGGCGUGCUUAACACAUGCAAGUCGAGCGGUAAGGCCCUUUCGGGGGUACACGAGCGGCGAACGGGUGAGUAACACGUGGGUGACCUGCCCUUAGCUCUGGGAUAAGCCUGGGAAACUGGGUCUAAUACCGGAUAUGACCUCAUGGCGCAUGUUGUGGGGUGGAAAGCCUUGUGCGGCUAGGGAUGGGCCCGCGGCCUAUCAGCUUGUUGGUGGGGUGANGGCCUACCAAGGCGACGACGGGUAGCUGGUCUGAGAGGAUGGCCAGCCACAUUGGGACUGAGAGACGGCCCAGACUCCUACGGGAGGCAGCAGUGGGGAAUCUUGCGCAAUGGCCGAAAGGCUGACGCAGCGACGCCGCGUGGGGAGGAAGGCCU